GAUGAACGCUGGCGGCGUACCUAAUACAUGCAAGUCGAGCGAACGGGCGAGAAGCUUGCUUCUCUGAUGUUAGCGGCGGACGGGUGAGUAACACGUGGAUAACCUACCUAUAAGACUGGGAUAACUUCGGGAAACCGGAGCUAAUACCGGAUGAUAUUUUGAACCGCAUGGUUCAAAAGUGAAAGACGGUCUUGCUGUCACUUAUAGAUGGAUCCGCGCUGCAUUAGCUAGUUGGUAAGGUAACGGCUUACCAAGGCAACGAUGCAUAGCCGACCUGAGAGGGUGAUCGGCCACACUGGAACUGAGACACGGUCCAGACUCCUACGGGAGGCAGCAGUAGGGAAUCUUCCGCAAAGGGCGAAAGCCUGACGGAGCAACGCCGCGUGAGUGAUGAAGGUCUUCGGAUCGUAAAACUCUGUUAUUAGGGAAGAACAUAUGUGUAAGUAACUGUGCACAUCUUGACGGUACCUAAUCAGAAAGCCACGGCUAACUACGUG
Molecule: ribosomal RNA, 497 nt
Filed under: uncultured bacterium
Lineage: Bacteria
Description: partial 16S ribosomal RNA
Rfam family: Bacterial small subunit ribosomal RNA
Source: RNAcentral